RNAcentral lists this ribosomal RNA (496 nucleotides) under uncultured bacterium. RNAcentral describes it as "partial 16S ribosomal RNA". It matches the Rfam family "Bacterial small subunit ribosomal RNA", at positions 29 to 507 of the family's 1533-position model. The record is from RNAcentral.
AUGAACGCUGGCGGCGUGCCUCAUACAUGCCAGUCGAGCGAACAGACGAGGAGCUUGCUCCUCUGACGUUAGCGGCGGACGGGUGAGUAACACGUGGAUAACCUACCUAUAAGACUGGGAUAACUUCGGGAAACCGGAGCUAAUACCGGAUAAUAUAUUGAACCGCAUGGUUCAAUAGUGAAAGACGGUUUUGCUGUCACUUAUAGAUGGAUCCGCGCCGCAUUAGCUAGUUGGUAAGGUAACGGCUUACCAAGGCAACGAUGCGUAGCCGACCUGAGAGGGUGAUCGGCCACACUGGAACUGAGACACGGUCCAGACUCCUACGGGAGGCAGCAGUAGGGAAUCUUCCGCAAUGGGCGAAAGCUUGACGGAGCAACGCCGCGUGAGUGAUGAAGGUCUUCGGAUCGUAAAACUCUGUUAUUAGGGAAGAACAAAUGUGUAAGUAACUAUGCACGUCUUGACGGUACCUAAUCAGAAAGCCACGGCUAACUACGUG